RNAcentral lists this ribosomal RNA (439 nucleotides) under uncultured bacterium. Its description in RNAcentral is "bacterial SSU rRNA". It matches the Rfam family "Bacterial small subunit ribosomal RNA", at positions 958 to 1397 of the family's 1533-position model. The record is from RNAcentral.
AACGCGAAGAACCUUACCUAGGCUCGAAAUGUAGAGGACGACACCAGAAACGGUGUUUCCCGAAAGGGUCUCUAUAUAGGUGCUGCAUGGCUGUCGUCAGCUCGUGCCGUGAGGUGUUGGGUUAAGUCCCGCAACGAGCGCAACCCUUAUUGUCAGUUGCCAACGCGUAAUGGCGGGGACUCUGGCAAGACUGCCCAGGUUAACUGGGAGGAAGGUGAGGAUGACGUCAAGUCCGCAUGGCCUUUAUGUCUAGGGCUACACACGUGCUACAAUGGUCGGUACAAUAGGCAGCGAAGCCGCGAGGUGGAGCAAAUCUUAAAAGCCGAUCUCAGUUCAGAUUGCAGUCUGCAACUCGGCUGCAUGAAGUUGGAAUUGCUAGUAAUGGCGUGUCAGCAACAGCGCCGUGAAUACGUUCCCGGGCCUUGUACACACCGCGAGC